Molecule: ribosomal RNA, 248 nt
Filed under: uncultured bacterium
Lineage: Bacteria
Description: partial 16S ribosomal RNA
Rfam family: Bacterial small subunit ribosomal RNA
Source: RNAcentral
UACGAAGGGGGCUAGCGUUGCUCGGAAUCACUGGGCGUAAAGGGCGCGUAGGCGGCGUUUUAAGCGGGGGUGAAAGCCUGUGGCUCAACCACAGAAUGGCCUUCGAUACUGGGACGCUUGAGUAUGGUAGAGGUUGGUGGAACUGCGAGUGUAGAGGUGAAAUUCGUAGAUAUUCGGAAGAACACCAGUGGCGAAGGCGGCUCACUGGGGCCGUCUGACGCUGAGGAGAAGCAAGGGCGCGGACAGGA